CAGUAGCCGCGGUAAUACGGAGGGGGCUAGCGUUGUUCGGAAUUACUGGGCGUAAAGCGCACGUAGGCGGCUUUGUAAGUCAGAGGUGAAAGCCCGGGGCUCAACCCCGGAAUUGCCUUUGAGACUGCAUCGCUUGAAUCCAGGAGAGGUGAGUGGAAUUCCGAGUGUAGAGGUGAAAUUCGUAGAUAUUCGGAAGAACACCAGUGGCGAAGGCGGCUCACUGGUCCAUUACUGACGCUGAGGUGCGAAAGCGUGGGGAGCAAACAGGAUUAGAUACCCCGGUAGUCCCUGUCUCUUAUAC
RNAcentral lists this ribosomal RNA (301 nucleotides) under uncultured bacterium. Its description in RNAcentral is "partial 16S ribosomal RNA". It matches the Rfam family "Bacterial small subunit ribosomal RNA", at positions 509 to 807 of the family's 1533-position model. The record is from RNAcentral.